UUAAGAACUAUGACAGGAAUCAAGUAAAUAUAUGAUAUUUAAAGAGAGUGAUGUUUGCUGUAAAUUCACAAUACUCAUGUAUUGAAAACUCGUCCUUGAGUUAUCGGUUGAAAUACAAGUAGACUGUAUCGGGUGAAUCCGUUAUUUUAUAAAGAAAAAAAUUUGGAUGGUACCGCGGUAUUGUUUCUCGCUCCAAGA
RNAcentral lists this non-coding RNA (198 nucleotides) under Clostridiaceae bacterium BL-3. RNAcentral describes it as "T-box". It matches the Rfam family "T-box leader". Rfam says of the family: Uncharged tRNA acts as the effector for transcription antitermination of genes in the T-box leader family. T-boxes are found upstream of many aminoacyl-tRNA synthetase genes and some amino acid biosynthetic genes usually in Gram-positive bacteria. The anticodon of a specific tRNA base pairs to a specifier sequence within the T-box motif, and the NCCA acceptor tail of the tRNA base pairs to a conserved bulge in the T-box antiterminator hairpin. Lineage: Bacteria; Bacillati; Bacillota; Clostridia; Eubacteriales; Clostridiaceae. The record is from RNAcentral.